GGAUGUGAGGGUGAGCUGGUUGUGACAUCUGUCACCCCAUUGAUGGCCAGGGUUGAUUCAGCUGAUCUGGCUGGCUAGGCAGUUGUCCCCUUCCUCCCUCACUGCUCCAUAUGCAUCCCCCCCCCCGAAGCUGCACGCUCGGUCAAAGAGGACGACCCUCCCCGCUACAGGAGGACUGUUCUUCAGUCAAGGGUAUACGAGUAGCUGCACUUCCCUGCUAGAACCCCCAAACAAGCUCUCAAGAAAGAGGGAGAUCCUGUAUACAGUUCAGCCAGUUUUCCCCAUGCAUAAACAAUAUUGCAACCAUGAAAUUGGCACUAAU
This 322-nucleotide small nuclear RNA is filed under the name Dasypus novemcinctus (nine-banded armadillo). Its description in RNAcentral is "7SK RNA (ENSDNOG00000026019.1)". It matches the Rfam family "7SK RNA". From Rfam's summary of the family: 7SK was discovered as an abundant small nuclear RNA in the mid-70s but a possible function has only recently been suggested. Two independent studies have found that 7SK RNA binds the CDK9/cyclin T complex (known as elongation factor P-TEFb). The record is from RNAcentral. Lineage: Eukaryota; Metazoa; Chordata; Mammalia; Cingulata; Dasypodidae.